This is a long non-coding RNA of Parasteatoda tepidariorum (common house spider), 584 nucleotides long. RefSeq lists it as uncharacterized. The record is from RefSeq and is a predicted model, not a curated record. Lineage: Eukaryota; Metazoa; Arthropoda; Arachnida; Araneae; Theridiidae.
UAUAAUUAUGAUACAAAACGAUAAAAUUUUUUAACAAGCUGUUAUGGCCCGUUCAUGGGAUGCAAUAACAAAAUGUUAAUUGAGAUUGUUUCAGGAGUAAUUUAAAACUACAUAAGGCGUUAUUCAAUGCUAUGACGUAGCAUUAAACUUCGUUAAAAAGCAGAUUUUAUUUUCCUUUUUCAAUGUCUUAUGCAUCAUUUACGUAAAUAAAAAUUCUUGUGGAUAGGAAACCAAAUUUCUUAAAGAUGCACAAGAUUACAUUGUUGGCUUUUGUAGUACUUUGCUGCGCAUGUUUAGUACACUGUCAAACUGAAAUGUCAGAGAAUCAAGAGGAUUUCCAGAAGUCUGUUGUAAAACUAUUCCAAGACGCCAUUGAAGUUUUUAAAAAAGGAAUGAUGAACCCAGGUGGUUUAAUGGGUGCCUUCCAAUCCGUCGCCAUGGCCAUCUCAUCAAAUCCUAACGUUCUCUUCUCUUUAUUAAACGACAUCAUUUCUUAAGGCUUGUACUGUUUUAUGCAGAUAUAAAAAUCUUGAUAUCGAAUGCUUGUUGUAAAUAAUAAAAUACCCAUACAUUUUGAUGAAAAA